Long non-coding RNA from Brassica rapa (field mustard), 942 nucleotides. RefSeq lists it as uncharacterized. The record is from RefSeq and is a predicted model, not a curated record. Lineage: Eukaryota; Viridiplantae; Streptophyta; Magnoliopsida; Brassicales; Brassicaceae.
ACGGUCCGCACAACUCCUGCUGACUUCAUCGUCGCCAAUCACGAGCUCAUCACCGGACCUCGCAACUCACAGCACGUUUCUCUUGACAACAAUUAUCAUAGCCUGACGACUCGUACACACCAACAACUUGCUCGGCACACACGAUCUCAACAUGAGACUUCGGGUCGGCAAUAUUUCGAGAUCGAUUCCAUCUCUCUCUACGAACUUGGGGGACUUACUGUUGGAGAUGAAUUUACAUCCUCCUCAAGACCCAUUAGACAUUGAACUAGACCCAUAUUGCUAGGAAGCCCUAGGCUUCAUCUUUGUAUAAAUAAGGAGAUCUUUCUCUUGAUUAAGGAUCUCUUUCUCCAUUUCUUAGACUUGAGACAUUUUCAUAUAGAGAUCUAAUUGAUUCAUAGGUUCACUUUACACUUCAAACACCUUUGUAAUGUAAUCUAUAAUCAAUAUGAUCUCUUUUAUACUCUUUUUCAUGUUCAUUUCUCAUUUGAUUCUUUCAAGAUUUCUCUUAAACCUCAAAGAAUCUAAUCAGCAUUUUUAAAUUCUUUUAUUGUAUUGAUUCAACAAAUAUUUCAGCGUAAACACCAUUCUUGGAUCAAACAGAUGUGUAGAAAGGGAUUGUAAGGUAAACUUCCUCGAAACUCUAAGAAAAAUAAAAAAAUUGACUUCCUAGAGUUCGACUUAAACAACAAAGGAUGUCAAUCCCUUUUAUCGUGCGCAAGAGAUUCUCCCAAAUAAAUCUUUACAUGUUUAAGUUAAUGUUUGCGUAUGUAACAAAUCAAAUAAAUAUUUUGUAGUCUGUAACUCUAGAUAAAUAAUCAAGGUAUGAAUUUUAGAUGCGGGUUGAAGUUGUAAAGUUAAAGAGAAUAAAGCAUUCAAAAUGGUAUCUUCUGUUUUCAAAGACUGAUCUUUUAUGGCUAAUUAUGAAUUUAAUUUUUUGAAUCA